RNAcentral lists this ribosomal RNA (303 nucleotides) under uncultured bacterium. RNAcentral's name for it is "bacterial SSU rRNA". It matches the Rfam family "Bacterial small subunit ribosomal RNA", at positions 355 to 672 of the family's 1533-position model. The record is from RNAcentral.
UGGGGGAUAUUGCACAAUGGGGGGAACCCUGAUGCAGCGACGCCGCGUGAGUGAAGACGGCCUUCGGGUUGUAAAGCUCUGUCAAUCGGGACGAAGAAGAUGACGGUACCGAUGAAGGAAGCUCCGGCUAACUACGUGCCAGCAGCCGCGGUAAUACGUAGGGAGCAAGCGUUGUCCGGAAUUACUGGGUGUAAAGGGAGCGUAGGCGGGAAUGCAAGUUGGAAGUGAAAGGUAUGGGCUCAACCCAUGAACUGCUUUCAAAACUGUAUUUCUUGAGUGAAGUAGAGGCAGGCGGAAUUCCUA